This 133-nucleotide transfer-messenger RNA is filed under the name Gammaproteobacteria bacterium. RNAcentral's name for it is "partial transfer-messenger RNA". It matches the Rfam family "transfer-messenger RNA", at positions 1 to 138 of the family's 374-position model. Rfam says of the family: Bacterial tmRNA, also known as 10Sa RNA or SsrA, is named for its dual tRNA and mRNA-like properties. Its role is to liberate the mRNA from a stalled ribosome. Lineage: Bacteria; Pseudomonadati; Pseudomonadota; Gammaproteobacteria. The record is from RNAcentral.
GGGGGUGACCUGGUUUCGACGUGGGUCACGAAACCUCUGGGGCAUGCCGAGGUGCCGAUCUCCUCGUAAAUCCAGCGGCAAACACAUAGUUGCCAACAACGACAACUACGCCUUAGCGGCUUAAUCCCCGCUA